Molecule: long non-coding RNA, 718 nt
Filed under: Mytilus galloprovincialis (Mediterranean mussel)
Lineage: Eukaryota; Metazoa; Mollusca; Bivalvia; Mytilida; Mytilidae
Source: RNAcentral
GAGAUCGGUCAUUUAAAUCACUCAAAACACCUGCGACGCAGGCAAAGUCAAACAGAAGUAGCCAACGGUUUGCGUAAUGUUUACAUUUCUUCAAUUUUCCAGAUCACAUGAACAAAAAUCUCAACGUGUUCAUAAUUGUCAAAAAUAUGUUUAUAAAUUUACGGGCAGUAAUCUCCCACCUUAGAAGAAAUUAUAAAUCAACUUCCUAAACUUUAGUAUUAUUUUUCAAGUGUAUCCUUCAUGGAGGCCCCAAUUUAACACACAAACACGUGUAUACAUUAUCGGCAUGGUUAAGUCAUAUAAAUGUAAUAACAAGUGUAUAAUAUCGUCAUUGUUGGAGAAUCUUGGGUUGGAAUAAUAUGCCGGUAUUUGUUAUAUUUUUUAUUUACAUAAUUUGAUAAAUGACGUCAAAUAUGUACGUUGAAUAUAGAGUAAUUAUCAAAUAUGUAAGAAAACAAAAAGCACAUGUUCGUAUCUAUAUAUAUCUUGGUUAGCUCACUCGCUGUGUCGGCAAAGUUCGGGAAGUAAACCCGAUGCAUAAUUAAUGAGAUGAAUAGGCACACAACACGAUAUGAAUUAUCAAUUAUUAACACUUCUGUAGUUUAUGAAAACAUUCUAGCGAUCUUAUUGCUUAUAUUUAGUACAUAUCUUUGAUUUUAGCAGCUUUAAAACUUGUUCAUAUUUUUGUCAAAAUCGUAGCUACUAUCCCUUUAAAGGA